Molecule: transfer RNA, 89 nt
Filed under: Ipomoea nil (Japanese morning glory)
Lineage: Eukaryota; Viridiplantae; Streptophyta; Magnoliopsida; Solanales; Convolvulaceae
Rfam family: tRNA
About the family: Transfer RNA (tRNA) molecules are approximately 80 nucleotides in length. Their secondary structure includes four short double-helical elements and three loops (D, anti-codon, and T loops).
Source: Rfam by way of RNAcentral
CCGACCUUAGCUCAGUUGGUAGAGCGGAGGAUUGUAGUGGAAUUGAAUCCGGAAUCCUUAGGUCGCUGGUUCGAAUCCGGCAGGUUGGA